CUCUUGAGUGGAUCCUGAGUACGACGGAGCACGUGAAAUUCCGUCGGAAUCUGGGAGGACCAUCUCCUAAGGCUAAAUACUCUCUAGUGACCGAUAGUGAACCAGUACCGUGAGGGAAAGGUGAAAAGCACCCCGGAAGGGGAGUGAAAUAGAACCUGAAACCGUGUGCUUACAAGUAGUCAGAGCCCGUUAAUGGGUGAUGGCGUGCCUUUUGUAGAAUGAACCGGCGAGUUACGAUUUGAUGCAAGGUUAAGCAGUAAAUGUGGAGCCGUAGCGAAAGCGAGUCUGAAUAGGGCGUUUAGUAUUUGGUCGUAGACCCGAAACCAGGUGAUCUACCCUUGGUCAGGUUGAAGUUCAGGUAACACUGAAUGGAGGACCGAACCGACUUACGUUGAAAAGUGAGCGGAUGAACUGAGGGUAGCGGAGAAAUUCCAAUCGAACCUGGAGAUAGCUGGUUCUCUCCGAAAUAGCUUUAGGGCUAGCCUCAAGUGAUGAUUAUUGGAGGUAGAGCACUGUUUGGACGAGGGGCCCCUCUCGGGUUACCGAAUUCAGACAAACUCCGAAUGCCAAUUAAUUUAACUUGGGAGUCAGAACAUGGGUGAUAAGGUCCGUGUUCGAAAGGGAAACAGCCCAGACCACCAGCUAAGGUCCCAAAAUAUAUGUUAAGUGGAAAAGGAUGUGGCGUUGCCCAGACAACUAGGAUGUUGGCUUAGAAGCAGCCAUCAUUUAAAGAGUGCGUAAUAGCUCACUAGUCGAGUGACACUGCGCCGAAAAUGUACCGGGGCUAAACAUAUUACCGAAGCUGUGGAUUGUCCUUUGGACAAUGGUAGGAGAGCGUUCUAAGGGCGUUGAAGCAUGAUCGUAAGGACAUGUGGAGCGCUUAGAAGUGAGAAUGCCGGUGUGAGUAGCGAAAGACGGGUGAGAAUCCCGUCCACCGAUUGACUAAGGUUUCCAGAGGAAGGCUCGUCCGCUCUGGGUUAGUCGGGUCCUAAGCUGAGGCCGACAGGCGUAGGCGAUGGAUAACAGGUUGAUAUUCCUGUACCACCUAUAAUCGUUUUAAUCGAUGGGGGGACGCAGUAGGAUAGGCGAAGCGUGCGAUUGGAUUGCACGUCUAAGCAGUAAGGCUGAGUAUUAGGCAAAUCCGGUACUCGUUAAGGCUGAGCUGUGAUGGGGAGAAGACAUUGUGUCUUCGAGUCGUUGAUUUCACACUGCCGAGAAAAGCCUCUAGAUAGAAAAUAGGUGCCCGUACCGCAAACCGACACAGGUAGUCAAGAUGAGAAUUCUAAGGUGAGCGAGCGAACUCUCGUUAAGGAACUCGGCAAAAUGACCCCGUAACUUCGGGAGAAGGGGUGCUCUUUAGGGUUAACGCCCAGAAGAGCCGCAGUGAAUAGGCCCAAGCGACUGUUUAUCAAAAACACAGGUCUCUGCUAAACCGUAAGGUGAUGUAUAGGGGCUGACGCCUGCCCGGUGCUGGAAGGUUAAGAGGAGUGGUUAGCUUCUGCGAAGCUACGAAUCGAAGCCCCAGUAAACGGCGGCCGUAACUAUAACGGUCCUAAGGUAGCGAAAUUCCUUGUCGGGUAAGUUCCGACCCGCACGAAAGGCGUAACGAUUUGGGCACUGUCUCAACGAGAGACUCGGUGAAAUCAUAGUACCUGUGAAGAUGCAGGUUACCCGCGACAGGACGGAAAGACCCCGUGGAGCUUUACUGUAGCCUGAUAUUGAAAUUCGGCACAGCUUGUACAGGAUAGGUAGGAGCCUUUGAAACGUGAGCGCUAGCUUACGUGGAGGCGCUGGUGGGAUACUACCCUAGCUGUGUUGGCUUUCUAACCCGCACCACUUAUCGUGGUGGGAGACAGUGUCAGGCGGGCAGUUUGACUGGGGCGGUCGCCUCCUAAAAGGUAACGGAGGCGCUCAAAGGUUCCCUCAGAAUGGUUGGAAAUCAUUCAUAGAGUGUAAAGGCAUAAGGGAGCUUGACUGCGAGACCUACAAGUCGAGCAGGGUCGAAAGACGGACUUAGUGAUCCGGUGGUUCCGCAUGGAAGGGCCAUCGCUCAACGGAUAAAAGCUACCCCGGGGAUAACAGGCUUAUCUCCCCCAAGAGUUCACAUCGACGGGGAGGUUUGGCACCUCGAUGUCGGCUCAUCGCAUCCUGGGGCUGUAGUCGGUCCCAAGGGUUGGGCUGUUCGCCCAUUAAAGCGGUACGCGAGCUGGGUUCAGAACGUCGUGAGACAGUUCGGUCCCUAUCCGUCGUGGGCGUAGGAAAUUUGAGAGGAGCUGUCCUUAGUACGAGAGGACCGGGAUGGACAUACCUCUGGUGUACCAGUUGUCGUGCCAACGGCAUAGCUGGGUAGCUAUGUGUGGACGGGAUAAGUGCUGAAAGCAUCUAAGCAUGAAGCCCCCCUCAAGAUGAGAUUUCCCAACUUCGGUUAUAAGAUCCCUCAAAGAUGAUGAGGUUAAUAGGUUCGAGGUGGAAG
Molecule: ribosomal RNA, 2473 nt
Filed under: Staphylococcus aureus
Lineage: Bacteria; Bacillati; Bacillota; Bacilli; Caryophanales; Staphylococcaceae
Description: partial 23S ribosomal RNA
Rfam family: Bacterial large subunit ribosomal RNA
Source: RNAcentral